AGGUCAUGAGGCAACAGAAUUCCACAAUGAUAUGGUUGAGGAAAAUGGAGACCUGUCCACAGAGGAGCCCAGCAUCAUAAUGAACAGCCAUCUGGAAUCUUUGGCUUUGGUACCAAACUAAUACUGCCCUAGAUGGAGUCUUGCUCUGUCACCCAGGCUGGAGUGCAGUGGCAUGAUCUCGGCUCACUGCAACAUCUGCUUCUUGGAUUCAAGCGAUUCUCCUGCCUCAGCCUCCCUAGUAGCUGGGACUACAG
RNAcentral lists this long non-coding RNA (254 nucleotides) under Homo sapiens (human). RNAcentral describes it as "HSALNT0369269". The record is from RNAcentral. Lineage: Eukaryota; Metazoa; Chordata; Mammalia; Primates; Hominidae.